GAUGAACGCUGGCGGCGUGCCUAAUACAUGCAAGUAGAACGAUGAAGGAAGGAGCUUGCUCUUUCCGGAUGAGUUGCGAACGGGUGAGUAACGCGUAGGUAACCUGCCUGGUAGCGGGGGAUAACUAUUGGAAACGAUAGCUAAUACCGCAUAACAGUAGAUGUUGCAUGAUUUCUACUUAAAAGGUGCAAUUGCACCCCUACCAGAUGGACCUUCGUUGUAAUAGCUAAUUGGUGAGGUUACGGCUCACCCAGGCCACGGUACAUUACCGACCUUAGAAGGGUAUCCGCCACAACGGGAACUGGAAAACGCCCAGACCUCUACGGGGAGCAGCAGUAAGGGAUCUUCGGCAAUGGACGGAAGGCUGACCGGGCAACGCCGCGGUGGUGAAGAAGGUUUUCGGAUCGUAAAGCCCUGUUGUAAGAGAAGAACGAGUGGGAGAGUGGAAAGUUCACACCGUGACGGUACCUUACCAGAAAGCGACGGCUAACUACGUG
Molecule: ribosomal RNA, 497 nt
Filed under: uncultured bacterium
Lineage: Bacteria
Description: partial 16S ribosomal RNA
Rfam family: Bacterial small subunit ribosomal RNA
Source: RNAcentral